Molecule: ribosomal RNA, 486 nt
Filed under: uncultured bacterium
Lineage: Bacteria
Description: partial 16S ribosomal RNA
Rfam family: Bacterial small subunit ribosomal RNA
Source: RNAcentral
AUUGAACGCUGGCGGCAUGCCUUACACAUGCAAGUCGAACGGCAGCACGGGUGCUUGCACCUGGUGGCGAGUGGCGAACGGGUGAGUAAUACAUCGGAACAUGUCCUGUAGUGGGGGAUAGCCCGGCGAAAGCCGGAUUAAUACCGCAUACGAUCUACGGAUGAAAGCGGGGGACCUUCGGGCCUCGCGCUAUAGGGUUGGCCGAUAGCUGAUUAGCUAGUUGGUGGGGUAAAGGCCUACCAAGGCGACGAUCAGUAGCUGGUCUGAGAGGACGACCAGCCACACUGGGACUGAGACACGGCCCAGACUCCUACGGGAGGCAGCAGUGGGGAAUUUUGGACAAUGGGCGAAAGCCUGAUCCAGCAAUGCCGCGUGUGUGAAGAAGGCCUUCGGGUUGUAAAGCGCUUUUGUCCGGAAAGAAAUCCUUGGCUCUAAUACAGUCGGGGGAUGACGGUACCGGAAGAAUAAGCACCGGCUAACUACGUG